AAUAGAGAGAGAGAAUAGAGAGAGAGAGAAUAGAGUGAGGGAUAAAAAAAUAGGAAGAGAAGUGGAGGGAAAAGAGGAGGAGUUAAUUAUGAAUAUUGGAUUUGUAAAAAGAUCAAUAUCGUUAUAGAUUAGAGCCUCAUCCAAUCCUCUCUCUGUCCACACAGGAGGGAAAUGAACCAGCGGCAUUAUUAACAUGUGUGUCACAAUGAUUUUAGGCUCCUGACAACUUUGCUCUGUGUUGAAUAAUGUAUUUGUUUUCAUUCUGUUGUCCAUGUGAACAUCUGUGUUUGGUUGUACUGUCCUUGUAGGUAACAGAAGUCCUCACAUCACAAGGAUAGUAAACAAUUCUGUGUGUGUGUUUGGUUGUACUGUCCUUGUAGGUAACAGAAGUCCUCACAUCACAAGGAUAGUAAACAAGGACAAUUCUGACAACUGGAUUCAUUUUGCCAGUCCCCACAACGGGAAAAUAUAUUUCAGGCUUAGGAGUUAGGAGUUAGGGGUUAGGUUUACAACUAGGGUUAUGGGUUAGGAGUUAGGAGUUAGGUUUAGGGUUACAACUAGGGUUAUGGGUUAGGAGUUAGGAGUUAGGAGUUAGGUUUAGGGUUACAACUAGGGUUAUGGGUUAGGAGUUAGGAGUUAGGAGUUAGGUUUAGGGUUACAACUAGGGAGUUAGGGUCAGGAGUUAGGAGUUAGGAGUUACAACUAGGGUUAUGGGUUAGGAGUUAGGAGUUA
Molecule: long non-coding RNA, 732 nt
Organism: Oncorhynchus tshawytscha (Chinook salmon)
Lineage: Eukaryota; Metazoa; Chordata; Actinopteri; Salmoniformes; Salmonidae
Source: Ensembl